RNAcentral lists this ribosomal RNA (773 nucleotides) under uncultured Neocallimastigales. Its description in RNAcentral is "partial large subunit ribosomal RNA". The stretch from base 1 to 692 matches the Rfam family "Eukaryotic large subunit ribosomal RNA", at positions 24 to 664 of the family's 3401-position model. Lineage: Eukaryota; Fungi; Neocallimastigomycota; Neocallimastigomycetes; Neocallimastigales. The record is from RNAcentral.
CACGCAUGACACACUGCAUAUCAAUAAGCGGAGGAAAAGAAACUAACAAGGAUUCCCUUAGUAACGGCGAGUGAAGCGGGAAGAGCUCAAAUUUGAAAUCUUCAAGGUUUUACCUUGACGAAUUGUAGUUUAAAGAAGUGUUUUCUGUUGGAGUUUUGGUAAAAGUUCUUUGGAAUAGGACAUCAUAGAGGGUGAGAAUCCCGUAUUUGACCAUUAUUUCCAGCUGUGUGAUACACUUUCAAAGAGUCGGAUUGUUUGGGAAUGCAGUCCAAAAUGGGUGGUAAAUUUCAUCUAAAGCUAAAUAUUGGCGAGAGACCGAUAGCGAACAAGUACCGUGAGGGAAAGAUGAAAAGAACUUUGAAAAGAGAGUUAAACAGUACGUGAAAUUGUCAAAAGGGAAGCGUUUGACACCAGUGAUGUUUUCACGAAAAUCAAUUAAAAAUGAUGGGAUUUUGUGUUGUAUUGACUUUAUCAGCUUUCUGCACUUUUUUCUUAUCUUUUUUAAUGCACUUUUCGUUUAACAAGUCAACAUCAAUUUCUUUUGUUGUAAAAGAGUCAUUGGAAGGUGGCUUUUUCUUCGGAAAAAGUGUUUAUAGCCUUUGGCUUCUGCAAUCGGAGAGAUUGAGGUCUGCAGCGUAGAUCCUUCGGGGUUAGAUACAUUUGUGCUAAGCUAUAGUUCUUUAUAGACAACUUGUUGACUAUAAUCAAUCCUGUAACUUACUCGCUUAUGCUAUUUUACCUACGCUUAGGAUGUUGAAGACUCUACAGAGAUA